RNAcentral lists this long non-coding RNA (371 nucleotides) under Struthio camelus australis. Its description in RNAcentral is "lncRNA (ENSSCUG00000018776.1)". Lineage: Eukaryota; Metazoa; Chordata; Aves; Struthioniformes; Struthionidae. The record is from RNAcentral.
AGUUGAGAGGCAGUGUAGUGAUUCUCUAUGGGGGGCUCGACACAAAGAACUGUCAUCCGAAUGCUGGCUGUGUUGGAAACUUUCUGUGUGGCCUUCUUCACUAUAGUUAUCCAGAGCAUUCGUUUCCCUGCUGCCAAAGAACAUUGAGGACUGCUGAACACAGGAGACACUCACUGUGAUACUCACUCAAAACUUGUACCAGUGCUGGCGCCCACUGGACUUCUCCAAGAGCUGAUGCAACUCACUAACCUGGCAGAAAACCAGCCCAGCUGCACAGUUUUUUCUCAGGGAAGGCUCUGAGAAGCACAACCACAAGGGAAGAGGAGACAGAGUACCAAGGAAGGAAAAGAUGAGGAGCAGAGGUAAGGAGG